UGCGAAAGUUCGAGUACUCGAAAAGUCAAGUGCCAUCAGAAAUCAAGUGAGUGUGUGCGAAGCGUGCUAGUUACAAAUCGAACAAUUAAAACCUGUGACAAAACUGUGGAGUUUCGGUGAUCCAUUUAAAAACAAGUCCUCCUUUGCACAUCCCUUGAGCUGUCACGAACAGCUCGUUCGAUAGCCGUGCACCAGUCUCGAACAAACGACCCUCGUGAACUCGGAGCUAGAUGGCCAAAAAAUUUCCUAGAUUAGUUCGGGGCUAUACAAAAAUCACGCACUUCAUCUUUCCUGCUAAUUCGAGAUUCCAGCAGCGAGGCGCUUCAAUGACCAGCUAAUAACAUCGCCCUUUUGUGACAAUUGAUGAUGAGUAAAUUUUUCUUCCACUGUCCAAAUGUAUACCCGUGGUGGUUAUCGGUUGUUGUUGGAGGUGGUCGGAGGUCGACGAGGAUUUGUGCUCGCUCAGCGAAACUUUAACAGCUGAGUUGGCAUUGAGAGACGAGUAGACAUCACCACAUGACAAAAAAGAGAAACCAAAUACAAAAUAGUAACAGCCCUUUGCCGCAGCAUAGAUCCAUACAAGAUUCCAAGUAUUUGACAACAGUGAUACCUUAUCACAUGGACACUGGCCCACCUGAUAAUCAAGCUUUACAAGUCCUCAUUAAGAUAUCGAAGGCUAUUAAUGAGGAUAGUCCAACGGUGCCCGCAUUAUUAACGGACUACAUAUUGAAAGUUCUGUGCCCCACCUAGUGAUCCACUAGUACAUAUCCUCCGACGUGACAUCGCUGUGCUACGUAUAAAGAAGAAAAGAUUUAUUAAGAUGUAGAUUGCUCCUCUCUUGCCAUUGUGCUUUCAGCCAUUGUUGUGGUGUGUGUUUAAAAUUAAGGACAGUAUAU
Molecule: long non-coding RNA, 896 nt
Filed under: Neodiprion pinetum (white pine sawfly)
Lineage: Eukaryota; Metazoa; Arthropoda; Insecta; Hymenoptera; Diprionidae
Description: uncharacterized LOC124222162
Source: RNAcentral